AAGACACCUGUCACCUGUCACUCUCCUUCCCUUCCCUCCCAGCUUGCUCUGCCCUGCUCUGCUCCGCUCUUCUCUGUUCUGCUCUGCUCUGCUCCCUCCCAAGCAUUCUUUCGAGAGCACAUUAUGUACUGGCAGUCCUCCACGCCACGUCAGCUUUAGUGAUGUGGGGGACCGCGCCUGUUCCACGCCCGCCCUGAGCAGAGUGGCACCGACAAGCUCAAAACGCCGCGCCAACUCACCCAACAUGGACGGUCCUGGCAGACGGACAAAGCCACAGGGAGGGCUCAUCACCUCAGCGAGGAGCACAUCGUUAGUGCGGUGAGGCGUGAGUGUGUACCGGGCCUGCGAGUGAUCGUCAGGCCGUGGGGUGGCGCUGCGGGGCCGCCAGACGGAGAUGUUACCCCGUCAAGCUGCAGGCUCCAUCCGUCCCGCAAUCCCCUGGGGCGAUGAGCGGAAAGCAACACAGGGGCGCCUCGCCAUCCGUCCACUUCAAAGUUUGAGG
Molecule: long non-coding RNA, 502 nt
Organism: Portunus trituberculatus (swimming crab)
Lineage: Eukaryota; Metazoa; Arthropoda; Malacostraca; Decapoda; Portunidae
Exons: 3
Source: RefSeq, a predicted model, not a curated record